CAGGCUUAACACAUGCAAGUCGAACGGAUCCUUCGGGAUUAGUGGCAGACGGGUGAGUAAUGCAUGGGAAUCUACCUUUCUCUACGGAAUAACUCAGGGAAACUUGUGCUAAUACCGUAUACGCCCUUUUGGGGAAAGAUUUAUCGGAGAGAGAUGAGCCCAUGUUGGAUUAGCUAGUUGGUAGGGUAAAGGCCUACCAAGGCGACGAUCCAUAGCUGGUCUGAGAGGAUGAUCAGCCACACUGGGACUGAGACACGGCCCAGACUCC
This 268-nucleotide ribosomal RNA is filed under the name uncultured Pseudochrobactrum sp. RNAcentral describes it as "partial 16S ribosomal RNA". It matches the Rfam family "Bacterial small subunit ribosomal RNA", at positions 43 to 339 of the family's 1533-position model. Lineage: Bacteria; Pseudomonadati; Pseudomonadota; Alphaproteobacteria; Hyphomicrobiales; Brucellaceae. The record is from RNAcentral.